Molecule: ribosomal RNA, 500 nt
Filed under: Coptotermes gestroi
Lineage: Eukaryota; Metazoa; Arthropoda; Insecta; Blattodea; Rhinotermitidae
Description: partial small subunit ribosomal RNA
Rfam family: Bacterial large subunit ribosomal RNA
Source: RNAcentral
CAAAAACAUCUUUUCUUGUUAGUUUUUGAAGUAUGGCCUGCCCGCUGACAUUUGGUGUUGAAGGGCCGCGGUAUUUUGACCGUGCAAAGGUAGCAUAAUCAUUAGUUCUUUAAUUGUGAUCUGGAAUGAAUGGCUUGACGAGGCACGGGCUGUCUUAGUGUUGAAUGUUUUAUUGAAUUUGGUCUUUGAGUUAAAAUUCUUAGAUGUUUUUGUGGGACGAGAAGACCCUAUAGAGUUUGACAUUUGGUUUAUUUACUUGUUUGUUGUUUGUUUAUUUUUGGUGAGUGGGCUUUUUGUUUUGUUGGGGUGAUGGGAGGAAUGUACUUAACUCCUCUUAGUUUUGGUUAUAUUGAUUUAUAAUUGUUUGAUCCAUUUAUUUUGAUUAUAAGACUAAAUUACCUUAGGGAUAACAGCGUUAUCUUCCUUGAGAGUUCUUAUCGGCAGGGGGGUUUGCGACCUCGAUGUUGGAUUAAGGUGAAUUUUUGGUGUAGGGGCUGAAA